AUUGAACGCUGGCGGCAGGCCUAACACAUGCAAGUCGAGCGGAGCGGCGGACGGGUGAGUAAUGCCUAGGAAUCUGCCUGGUAGUGGGGGAUAACGUUCGGAAAGGAACGCUAAUACCGCAUACUAUCAGAUGAGCCUAGGUCGGAUUAGCUAGUUGGUGGGGUAAUGGCUCACCAAGGCGACGAUCCGUAACUGGUCUGAGAGGAUGAUCAGUCACACUGGAACUGAGACACGGUCCAGACUCCUACGGGAGGCAGCAGUGGGGAAUAUUGGACAAUGGGCGAAAGCCUGAUCCAGCCAUGCCGCGUGUGUGAAGAAGGUCUUCGGAUUGUAAAGCACUUUAAGUUGGGAGGCGUUACCGACAGAAUAAGCACCGGCUAACUUCGUGCCAGCAGCCGCGGUAAUAC
Molecule: ribosomal RNA, 407 nt
Filed under: uncultured bacterium
Lineage: Bacteria
Description: partial 16S ribosomal RNA
Rfam family: Bacterial small subunit ribosomal RNA
Source: RNAcentral